AGGAUGAACGCUGGCGGCGUGCCUAACACAUGCAAGUCGAACGUCCUGUCUCGCAAGAGGCAGGGAGUGGCGGACGGGUGAGUACCACGUGGGUCAUCUACCGUGAGGUGAGGAAUACCGGCGAGAAAUCGCCGACAAGACCGCAUAGGCUCGAUGCAAGUCGAGCAAAGCUCUUUCGAGAGAGGGAGCGCCACACGAGGAGCCUGCGCCCGAUUAGCUAGCUGGUGGAGUAACGGUUCACCAGGGCGACGAUCGGUAGCUGGUCUGAGAGGACGAUCAGCCACACUGGGAUUGAGAACGGCCCAGACUCCUACGGGGGGCAGCAGUGAGGAAUAUUGGACAAUGGGCGAAAGCCUGAUCCAGCAAUGCCGCGUGAGUGAAGAAGGCCUUAGGGUUGUAAAGCUCUUUUACCCGGGAAGAUAAUGACUGUACCGGGAGAAUAACGCCCGGCUAACUCGCGCCAGCAGCCGCGGUAA
RNAcentral lists this ribosomal RNA (476 nucleotides) under uncultured bacterium. Its description in RNAcentral is "SSU rRNA". It matches the Rfam family "Bacterial small subunit ribosomal RNA", at positions 26 to 523 of the family's 1533-position model. The record is from RNAcentral.